This 520-nucleotide ribosomal RNA is filed under the name uncultured Diversispora. RNAcentral's name for it is "SSU rRNA". It matches the Rfam family "Eukaryotic small subunit ribosomal RNA", at positions 569 to 1090 of the family's 1831-position model. Lineage: Eukaryota; Fungi; Glomeromycota; Glomeromycetes; Diversisporales; Diversisporaceae. The record is from RNAcentral.
AGCAGCCGCGGUAAUUCCAGCUCCAAUAGCGUAUAUUAAAGUUGUUGCAGUUAAAAAGCUCGUAGUUGAACUUCGGGAUUUGCCCAUUGGUCAGGCUUAACUGUCUGCACUGGUGUGACGAGUUCCUACCUUCUGAGGAAUCUCCAUGUCAUUCAGUUGGUGUGGGGGGAAAUCAGGACUGUUACUUUGAAAAAUUAGAGUGUUUAAAGCAGGCGUCCGUCUGAAUACAUUAGCAUGGAAUAAUAAAAUAGGACGGUUUGGUUCUAUUUUGUUGGUUUCUAGGAUCACCGUAAUGAUUAAUAGGGAUAGUUGGGGGCAUUAGUAUUCAAUUGUCAGAGGUGAAAUUCUUGGAUUUAUUGAAGACUAACUACUGCGAAAGCAUUUGCCAAGGAUGUUUUCAUUAAUCAAGAACGAAAGUUAGGGGAUCGAAGACGAUCAGAUACCGUCGUAGUCUUAACCAUAAACUAUGCCGACUAGGGAUCGGACGAAGUUAAUUUUUAAUGACUCGUUCGGCACCUUA